RNAcentral lists this long non-coding RNA (565 nucleotides) under Bos taurus (domestic cattle). RNAcentral describes it as "long non-coding RNA NONBTAT020348". The record is from RNAcentral. Lineage: Eukaryota; Metazoa; Chordata; Mammalia; Artiodactyla; Bovidae.
UGGGCAUGCAUACAAAUGACACCCCGUAGGUUAGGGAUAUGACUCACAGCACAAAAUCAAACAGAAACCUCGUAUCCAAAAAAGUAAAAUGGGGUUAAUUAUUUUCAUGUUUAGUGAUAUGUUUAAUUUGCUUCAUAAAUGAAACAUGCUAGUUCUAAUUCUCAAAUGACUACUGUUAAUAGAUAAUGAAAGCUUAUUUGGCUCUUUCAAAUAUGGAGCUUUCCAUUUUCAAACUUCUCGGAGAUCUCUUGAUAAUUCACACUUGGAGAUAAUUGAAUAUAUGACAUAUUUUGAAGGGUAACUGUUGAUUGCUGAUUGAGCAGAUAAAUAAGAAAUUAUUCAGUGAGAACAGUUGGCUCAAAGUCACUACAAUAAAGGGCACAUAUUUUCAGGUUCAUUACUCCUCACAAAAUAUUCAAGACAGUCUAAUUAAUUAAAAUUUUCCUUUAGGCCAUCGGUUUCCUGAUGUGUUCAAUUCUGUUUUUCAGCAAAUAUCAUCAGUGUGAAUACAUGAGAGUUUUAUGACUGCUUUACCUCCCUAUUUACUUUUUGAGUAAAUAGUUCU